This 500-nucleotide ribosomal RNA is filed under the name uncultured bacterium. RNAcentral's name for it is "partial 16S ribosomal RNA". It matches the Rfam family "Bacterial small subunit ribosomal RNA", at positions 30 to 523 of the family's 1533-position model. The record is from RNAcentral.
AUUGAACGCUGGCGGAAUGCUUUACACAUGCAAGUCGAACGGCAGCACGGACUUCGGUCUGGUGGCGAGUGGCGAACGGGUGAGUAAUGUAUCGGAACGUGCCCAGUCGUGGGGGAUAACGUAGUGAAAAUUACGCUAAUACCGCAUACGAUCUAUGGAUGAAAGCGGGGGAUCGCAAGACCUCGCGCGAUUGGAGCGGCCGAUAUCAGAUUAGGUAGUUGGUGGGGUAAAGGCCCACCAAGCCAACGAUCUGUAGCUGGUCUGAGAGGACGACCGGCGACACGGGAACUGAGACCCGGUCCAGACUCCUACGGGAGGCAGCAGUGGGGAAUUUUGGAGAAUGGGCGAAAGCCUGGUCCAGCCAUUCCGCGUGCAGGAUGAAGGGCCUCGGGUUGUAAACUGCUUUUGUAAAGAACGAAAAGGUUUCUACUAAUACUAGGAGCUCAUGACGGUACUGUAAGAAUAAGCACCGGCUAACUACGUGCCAGCCGCCGCAGUAA